AACGCGAAGAACCUUACCUGGGCUCGAAGCACAGUGGACCGGGAUGGAAACAUCCCUUUUCGCAAGAACUGCCGUGGAGGUGCUGCAUGGCUGUCGUCAGCUCGUGUCGUGAGAUGUUGGGUUAAGUCCCGCAACGAGCGCAACCCUUAUCGUUAGUUGCCAACGGGUCAAGCCGGGAACUCUAGCGAAACCGCCUCGGAUAACGGGGAGGAAGGUGGGGAUGACGUCAAGUCCUCAUGGCCUUUAUGUCCAGGGCUACACACGUGCUACAAUGGUCGGUACAAACCGUCGCAAACCCGCGAGGGGGAGCUAAUCGGAAAAGCCGACCUCAGUUCGGAUUGGAGUCUGCAACUCGCACUCCCAUGAAGCUGCGAAUGCGCUAGUAAUAAACGAGAUUCACCCANCGCCUGCCGGGGCAAUAACGUUACCCCGGGUGUUUGUACCACCCCG
RNAcentral lists this ribosomal RNA (450 nucleotides) under uncultured bacterium. RNAcentral's name for it is "bacterial SSU rRNA". The stretch from base 1 to 371 matches the Rfam family "Bacterial small subunit ribosomal RNA", at positions 958 to 1328 of the family's 1533-position model. The record is from RNAcentral.